Molecule: ribosomal RNA, 253 nt
Filed under: uncultured bacterium
Lineage: Bacteria
Description: partial 16S ribosomal RNA
Rfam family: Bacterial small subunit ribosomal RNA
Source: RNAcentral
UACAGAGGUCUCAAGCGUUGUUCGGAAUUACUGGGCGUAAAGCGCACGUAGGCGGACUCUUAAGUCGGUGGUGAAAUCCUGGAGCUCAACUCCAGAACUGCCUUCGAUACUGAGAGUCUCGAGUCCGGGAGAGGUGAGUGGAACUGCGAGUGUAGAGGUGAAAUUCGUAGAUAUUCGCAAGAACACCAGUGGCGAAGGCGGCUCACUGGCCCGGUACUGACGCUGAGGUGCGAAAGCGUGGGGAGCAAACAGG